CCGCAGAUGGCAGAACGGCGAUGCAAAGGUCUGUAAAACCUUAUAAAGUAGGUUCAACUCCUACUCUGCGGA
This 72-nucleotide transfer RNA is filed under the name Candidatus Roizmanbacteria bacterium. Its description in RNAcentral is "tRNA-Tyr". It matches the Rfam family "tRNA". Rfam says of the family: Transfer RNA (tRNA) molecules are approximately 80 nucleotides in length. Lineage: Bacteria; Candidatus Roizmaniibacteriota. The record is from RNAcentral.